This is a long non-coding RNA of Amphiprion ocellaris (clown anemonefish), 3372 nucleotides long. RefSeq lists it as uncharacterized. The transcript is spliced from 3 exons. Lineage: Eukaryota; Metazoa; Chordata; Actinopteri; Pomacentridae. The record is from RefSeq and is a predicted model, not a curated record.
UAUAUCACUACAGGAAGCAGCACUUCAAUUGCAAUUUACACUCCAACUUACCUACGUUAUUUUUUUUUUAAAGGGAGACAGUUUUAUACCUGACACAAGUAAUAAUUCUUAGUUUUAUCCCAGCAAAGAAAUACCUCACUGAAUUGAUAGCUGCUUUAUAUCACAAAAUUACACCUUGAUUUUUAUUUGGAAAGUGUAUCUGCUUUUAUAAUGAAAUAGUCCGAGCUGCCUGCCUCCGAUGUAGCUUGUCAACAAAUUCACCUGUUACGCAGGUGAUUUAAAGUCUGUAAGGACCGUAAUAAUGGUGAAAACAACAGUGUCUAGGACAGUUAGCCACAGCUCAGCUCUCCACGUACAUGACAGAGUAUGAAUUACAGUCACAGCUGCUGGCAAGACAGAAAAUAAGAGCAGUUAUUAAAAUGGAUGCUGCUGCUUCCCAUGUGGUCCGAGGAUGUGGCUGCUGCAGGAGGAGCGCGAACUUCCUUUGGGUGCACAUUCAGCAUCUGUCUAUCUUCUCCUUCUGAGGCCGUUGACCUGUGUUUCCUGAGGACAGCUCAGACGGGUAACUUCUCUGGCCUAUCCCUGCACUACUCCACCCUGAUGUUGACCCCCCAGCUGGCUCACAGUGUCACCUAACCCAGCAGCACCCGGGGGCGGGGAGUAUCCCAUCCCGAUAGCACUCCACAUCGCAGACGUAAACAUGGGUGACAAAUGGGCCACAAUAUCAGGUAUCAGGUGUCGGCACAGAAGAUUUAUAAGGUAACAAGACAAUGGGAGGCAGACACACAAAAAAAGCCUAUCUACCAUCAGUGCUGAGAUCUUCUUCACCGCAGCAAAACCUGCUUUGGUUUCAGCAGCCAUGGAGAAAAUGAUUUCCCUUUUAAUCCUCUCAGUUUUCUCAUCCAUGCGGCACAGAUUAGGUGCUCGCUCUCACAACUGAAUCAGAGAUCCGUGGCUCACCAAUAGAGCAUGUUUUGGUGCACUGAUUGAAGACAGAGGAGUCAUGCACAAGAGGACUUGUUGUGAAAUGAAGGAAGUCCCCACUCGUGGAAAGGGAAAUUAGAGGUCAUAUAGAGCUCAGCCGGAACCUGUUGGAGCAGACAGUUGUCUGCAGCAGCUCGUCGACAUACAGUAGUUUUGACAGGAAAACUUACAUCUCUUUGCAUUAAACAGACUCUGAGAUGAAUUCCUUGAAGGUCUCAGAUCAUCUUUUUUUGUUGGUGUGUUUGGGAGGUGAAGAAACUAACGGUCAAGAAAUGAAAACCAGUUACUUUACCAUAUAGUUUGGAAACUAUGAACUGCUUUGAUAUGCAGACAGUGUAUACAGAGCAGGAGGAAAAUAAAGCUGUUAUCUACUUAAAUCUGGAUAAUGCCUUUCACACUGUGGCUCUGCUUUUCAGGCCUCACUGACACUAUGUCUUGAAUUUGUGCUUUAUUAUUAAUUAUAUGAGAUAUGCUAAUGUUAGUACAGGCAUUUAACUCUCACAGUCAAAUAACAGCUGAUUUUUUUUAGUGACCAAAGACAGAAAUCUUACUGACACAUGGAUUCUGUCAUCCAUCUCUGAGGCACAGAGGUGAUGACAGGCAACAGAGAAGACGAGUGUGGUGUUGGGGAGGAAAGGGACGCUGGCGCCGCGUGCCUUGAAAUCCACACGGAUGUUCAAAACUGGUGUUUCUGACAUGUGAAAACCCUGCAUGCAGUGCCCAGGGCGAACACCCUCCUCCCAUCUUAGCUCACAAUCGAGCACCUUCUCCUCCUACGCAGCACGCCCACGGACGUCCUGAGAGGACCUGAAACUGGAGACGCAGUCAGCAGGAGUGAACCUCCAUGCCGUCAUCCCCACUCCCUGUCCUUUGUCUGCUCACAAUGUGGAGUGGUACAGAGAGCUCUGACACCGAACAGAUUCCUGCCCGUAGCUCCUCGGGGAAUAUCUCUGGUUUUUGUAGUGUUUAUACGUGUGUGUUUCACUGGCGUAGUUGGUGCCUCAUAGUGUUUGUUUUUACCUGCAUCUUUUUGUUUAACACACAUUGAUAAUGACACACUUGAAUUUUAUAUGAGGUGAAGACAUAAAUGAUUAGUUCACCCACUUAGUUGUCUUAGUUUUAGUUGCAUCUCUUUCAUUAGUAGAGGUUAAUUAAUACUACGUCAGUUAGUGUUGAGUGUUGAAAAAGUUGGUCAACAUCGCAUUGUUUGGGGUGAAGAAUCAAUAGAGAACUCAUCUUUCAGCUUAUUGUUUUGGAUCACAGAUUUAAGCAUCAAAUGGAAGACAACAAAACUCGCUGGUGAACAUAGUGAAUCCUUUAGCAGCUAAAGAGCCCCAUAUUUUCCGUAAGAAUAAGUGAAAAGGCAAAAUAGAACUAAAGGAAAAGUGGGUACUGGACUUGGAAACAAAGUUCCAAAAUGGUGUUGCUUCUGUCCACUAGAUGUUUGCUAGGCAACUGUUUGUGAACAUGUUUGCUUAGUCAUCUUUACAAGGUGAUAAUAGGUCAGUGUUGGGGCUACACUUUGUUUUUGCUGCUUCUGUGUGGGCAAAAAACACCCAAAUACAAUUACUGCAGGUUUAAAACGCAUAAAAACGUGAGAACUGAUUAACAAUUCCACUUGUUUUUGGAAUAUACUUAAUAUACCUAAAUUAGGGCUGCCACUAGCAGCUAUUUUUCUAUUAGUUCGUAGAGUGAUUAAUUUUUCAUCCAAAAAAAAUUACCUUGUCAUUUAAACUUCUUCUAUCCUGACAAAGUAUAUCUGCAACUCCAACAUCAUAAUAAUAGAUAUAAAACAGAGCUGAUUAUUUGUCAGUAGUGUGCCACCAAAAAAAGCUUCUUUAAACCCUUUUAAUAAAGGGAAAAAGUUCUGCCUGUAUAUUAAACAAAGUGCAACAUGGACCAAUGGAUAUUUUACAUGCAUGAAGCAACUCCACUUGUCCUUAUUGUGAACCUUUUGUCUGACCAGCUGUAGUUUCUAAUCCUAUGAAAGUAUAGCUGAAUUCACAGGACAACUGUUGUCUUUGACUUUGUUGUGUGUUUUGUAUCAGGAUUUUAUCAAUGCAGCUGUUUGGAAAUGGCCUCUGGUUAACAGGAAGUCUUAAGUGACUGUGUUGUGUGACUAUUUCAUACUUGUUCACUUGUCUGACAACAAAAACAGAAAAAUAUGUAAUUGAGGACAGCUUCAUUUGGAAUUUGACUGGCGUAAAACGCAGCAUAUGUGAGCACAGAGAGUAGGAGAGAAUGCACCGAUGCAGCAAUUAUGAUGUGAUCUGAAAGAAUAACAUUCUAUACACUAAAUGUAAGCACUUCAGAAGCAUUUUAAAAAUAGAUAUGCAACGGCUUAAAAUAUAAUAUAAAUAUAACAUGCCAACACAUUUUCUGCAUCAG